AAGCUUUGUCCUAAGUCAAACUGCUCUAACUUUGACCAAGUUUUUAGAAAAAUAUAUAAACAUCUAUAGCACCAAAUAAAUACACAAUCCAAGACAUAUUUCAUCGUAAAUUCAAUGAAACUAAUUGGAUGUUGUUAGUGUUGGUACUUUUUUCUAUAAAGUUGGUUAAGUCACAAAAGUUUGACUAAGGACGAAACUAA
Molecule: microRNA precursor, 200 nt
Filed under: Dichanthelium oligosanthes
Lineage: Eukaryota; Viridiplantae; Streptophyta; Magnoliopsida; Poales; Poaceae
Description: MIR1435 microRNA precursor family
Rfam family: MIR1435 microRNA precursor family
Source: Rfam by way of RNAcentral